RNAcentral lists this long non-coding RNA (1227 nucleotides) under Gossypium barbadense (sea-island cotton). Its description in RNAcentral is "long non-coding RNA (GBAR_LNC017303)". Lineage: Eukaryota; Viridiplantae; Streptophyta; Magnoliopsida; Malvales; Malvaceae. The record is from RNAcentral.
GGCCAAAAAAUCUUGCCCGAGGCCCGGCCUAUUUUUUAAACGAGCCUAAAAUUUUGUCCAAGCCCAUAUUUCGGGCCUAUAUUUUUACCCAAACCCUCCCAUAUUUCGGGCGGGCCGUCGGGCCGGGUCAGGCCGCCCGGCCCAUGGACAGGUCUAGUGAGGAGUGGUUACAAAUUAUUACUUGAAAAUAACUAUGACCCAACUGCUACAGACUUACAAUAGAAUAUAGAUAAUUUUUACAAGCGAUUGUGGAGCCUCAACUUAAAUGCAAGACAAAAUAUUACAAUUUGGAAGAUUUCGUGGAACUUUCUGCCUACUUUGAUUAAUUUACAUUUUCGAAGACUUGGGGUAAAUACAGUUUGUCCAAAAUGUGGAGGAGGAGUGGAAAGUAUUCAACAUGUAUUUCGAGUUUGCCUUGUGUCAUUGGAAGAGUGGAAUUCUUUAAAUCCUAUGUGGGUUGUCUCUAUGGCAAAUUUAGAUAAUUGGGAGUGGCUCACCUGGCUGUUUAAACGAAGCUCAAUUUAUCAGUGUCAUUUAUUCUGUUGCGCCUUAUGGGUGAUCUGGACAAAGCGAAGUAAGAAGUUGCAUGAAGCUAAGAGUAGUACUGGAAAAGGGAUUGCUGAAAUGACCAAUAGAUUUCUCAGGGAAAUUGAUGAAGUGGGGAAUGGAUCCCUUACCAAACAAUGGGUAGUGUCGGAAUGGAGGCCUCCAGAAACCCAAGUUGUUAAGAUCAAUUUUGGUGCGACGUAUGAUUGUAAUCAACUCGGAUCAACUUCGGGGUUGGUGGCUAGAAAUGGUGAAGGAAAGGUGCUAGCCUCAAAAUAGAUUGUGUAUAGAGGUUGCCUCUUUGUUUGUAGCAGAGGCCCAUGCAUGUCUUCAUGCUGUGCGAAUGGGGUUAGCCAUGAAAGUAGGCAAGAUUGAGGUUGAAGGAGAUGCAUUAACAAUCAUAAAAAAGUGUCAAUCUACAACCAUCGACAAAUCGAUUAUAGUAGUAUAUAUUCAAGACAUUCAACAUAGCAAAAACGGUUUUCAAAGUAUCCAGUUUAAACAUGUUUCAAGAUUGGCAAAUAAAAAAAACCCAUAGAAUCGUAGGAGAGAGUUUAAGAAAGCAAGAAGAGGUUUACCUGGAAGGAUCGAUACUUGGGUAUGCCAUGGAAUCGCUGGGUUCUAGUCGACAAAGAGAGUGAGAGCCUGAUUGAGGCGAACUGAGGAAGCAUAAAGGUUGAG